ACGCGAAGAACCUUACCCANGGCUUGACAUGCAGUAGACCGGUCCAGAAAUGGGCCUUUCCUUCGGGACUGCUGCACAGGUGCUGCAUGGCUGUCGUCAGCUCGUGCCGUGAGGUGUUGGGUUAAGUCCCGCAACGAGCGCAACCCUUAUCAUUAGUUGCCAACAUUUAAGGUGGGAACUCUAAUGAGACUGCCUGGGUUAACCAGGAGGAAGGUGAGGAUGACGUCAAGUCCGCAUGGCCCUUAUGUCUGGGGCUACACACGUGCUACAAUGGUCGGUACAGAAGGCAGCGAAGCCGCGAGGUGAAGCAAAUCCCGAAAACCGGCCUCAGUUCAGAUUGUAGUCUGCAACUCGACUACAUGAAGACGGAAUUGCUAGUAAUGGCGAGUCAGCAACAUCGCCGUGAAUACGUUCCCGGGUCUUGUACACACCG
Molecule: ribosomal RNA, 433 nt
Filed under: uncultured bacterium
Lineage: Bacteria
Description: bacterial SSU rRNA
Rfam family: Bacterial small subunit ribosomal RNA
Source: RNAcentral